CCCUUAGACGUUCUGGGCCGCACGCGCGCUACACUGACCAGUGCAACAAGCAUCCGUCCUUGGCCGACAGGCCCGGGCAAUCUUUGAACGCUGGUCGUGAUGGGGAUAGACUUUUGCAAUUUUUGGUCUUCAACGAGGAAUUCCUAGUAAACGCCAGUCAUCAACUUGCAUUGAUUACGUCCCUGCCCUUUGUACACACCGCCCGUCGCACCUACCGAUUGAAUGGUCCGGUGAAGCCUCCGGAUUGGCGCGCACCUCGGUGCCGCCGAGAAGUUGGCUAAACCUUACCAUUUAGAGGAAGGUGAAGUCGUAACA
Molecule: ribosomal RNA, 315 nt
Filed under: uncultured eukaryote
Lineage: Eukaryota
Description: partial 18S ribosomal RNA
Rfam family: Eukaryotic small subunit ribosomal RNA
Source: RNAcentral